GCCGUCGUGGUGUAGUAGCCAGCACGCUCGACGCGUAUUCGAGAGAUCAGCGGUUCGAGUCCCGGCGAGGGCA
Stegodyphus mimosarum is the source of this 73-nucleotide non-coding RNA. The record is from Rfam. Lineage: Eukaryota; Metazoa; Arthropoda; Arachnida; Araneae; Eresidae.